Long non-coding RNA from Suncus etruscus (white-toothed pygmy shrew), 238 nucleotides. RefSeq lists it as uncharacterized. NCBI's taxonomy places the organism in Eukaryota, Metazoa, Chordata, Mammalia, Eulipotyphla, Soricidae. The transcript has 4 exons. The record is from RefSeq and is a predicted model, not a curated record.
CUUUUCUCAACAUCACCUCAUCAUAAGAAGGAUGUUUAAAACUCCAACCAAGGUGCUUCUCUCGAUGAUUUUAAGAAUCUUAAAAAGAAAAACAAAACAGGAAGAGAGACCAAGAGAUGGAAGAUAAGGAAAAGGCAACACCUGGCAAUGCUGAGUUCUUACUCCUUGCUCUGUGCUCAGGGAUCACAAGGAUCACAGGAAAAGGUGGACCUGAACUGAAGGGUUUGAAAUUGAAAUA